RNAcentral lists this ribosomal RNA (424 nucleotides) under uncultured Bacteroidales bacterium. Its description in RNAcentral is "bacterial SSU rRNA". It matches the Rfam family "Bacterial small subunit ribosomal RNA", at positions 355 to 776 of the family's 1533-position model. Lineage: Bacteria; Pseudomonadati; Bacteroidota; Bacteroidia; Bacteroidales. The record is from RNAcentral.
UGAGGAAUAUUGGUCAAUGGGCGCAAGCCUGAACCAGCCAUUCCGCGUGAAGGAAGAAGGCCUUACGGGUUGUAAACUUCUUUUCUGUAAGAAGAAUAGCCCCGACGUGUCGGGGUAUGACGGUAUUAUAGGAAUAAGCAUCGGCUAACUCCGUGCCAGCAGCCGCGGUAAUACGGAGGAUGCAAGCGUUAUCCGGAUUUAUUGGGUUUAAAGGGUGCGCAGGUGGUUUUAUAAGUCAGUGGUGAAAGUCUGGCGCUUAACGUUAGGAUUGCCAUUGAUACUGUAGGACUUGAGAAUGGAUGAGGUAGGCGGAAUGUGUAGUGUAGCGGUGAAAUGCAUAGAUAUUACACAGAACUCCGAUUGCGAAGGCAGCUUACUAAUCCAUGACUGACGCUGAGGCACGAAAGCGUGGGGAUCAAACAGG